This 255-nucleotide ribosomal RNA is filed under the name uncultured bacterium. RNAcentral's name for it is "partial 16S ribosomal RNA". It matches the Rfam family "Bacterial small subunit ribosomal RNA", at positions 526 to 779 of the family's 1533-position model. The record is from RNAcentral.
CGGAGGGUGCGAGCGUUACCCGGAUUUACUGGGGCGUAAAGGGCGUGUAGGCGGUUUUCUAAGUCCGGGGCUAAAGACCAGGGCUCAACCCUGGGUUUGCCUUGGAUACUGGAAAGCUCGACGGCUGGAGGGGGCAGCGGAAUUUCCGGAGUAGCGGUGAAAUGCGCAGAUACCGGAAGGAACGCCAAUAGCGAAGGCAGCUGCCUGGACAGUACGUGACGCUGAGGCGCGAAAGCGUGGGGAGCAAACCGGAUU